CUUAAACCUCAACCUCCAGUCUACUGUGAAUAACCCCCAGUAUCUCUCUAGUCAUUGCUGCGUGUUUUGCAAGACGGUGAAUUCUACAGGACAGCUUUCUCACAGUUCUAUGGUUCAUCAGGAAUACAGAAUUCUGGGAUGUGGUCUCUGUUCAGCACAGUCCUAUUCAAGAAAUAAGUCAGUCAGGCCCAAGAACAAGUCUGGAGCUCAGCAUGCUUCUGGUGUAUUGACAAAGGCUUCACUUCUGACCACUCUACUGCAUUACCAAAGUCAUCUGCUCUGGUCAUUGUGACACCAUUGGCUGCAAGGUUCUCACCCGAAUCCAGCUGAUGCUUGUACUCUUCUUUUGAAUCUCCAAACUCACCUCUCAGCUUGGAAUUCAUCCAAUAGAGCGUUGAGACAGAAUCCAAAGUGGCUUCCUGCUUCCAACAUCUGUUGUGCCUCAGCUCUUCCCUAAAAUCUGGCGUAGAAAGCAUCCAACCAUAUCUCUAAAUCACUAAACUCUAAUAAUUUUCUACUGGAUAAAGUAGAAAAUAUUUAACAUGACUUAGAAACUAUUUUAUAGUGUGGAAGUGUUACUUAACUUUUCUUAUUGUUGUAACAAAAUGAAUGCUUGACUACCUAGCCACAAAGGAUUUCAGCAUUCGUUUUUGUAGAAGACAUCCCACCACGGCAGGGAAGAAACAGAAGCAGGAGCCAGGUGGCUGGUCGCAUUGCGUCUUCAUUCAAGAAUCGGAGAGCAAGGAAUCCUGACUAGUGUUUCACUUGCUUUCUAGGAUCUUGGUCUAUCGGACGCUGCGACCCAUGUUCAGUGUGGGUCUCUUCUCUUCAGCCAAAGCUUUCUGCAAAUGCCCUCAGACACAUGCAGAGGUGUGUCAGGUUAGCUGAGAUCACACUCACUACCGUUGUCCCUCCCCUCUUCUCCUCUACUUUUAGCAGACUACUGGCGUUUCCAGGAAUACAAGAAGGACUUGCUGUUCAAACUUGGUCCUUCAUUGGUUGGUGUACUGCGUGACUCAGCUUAAGUGACACAUUGACUCUGAAGCUUUUGUGAGGCCCAUGUAUGGGCUACCUUAUUUCUUUUGUCAAUUACAGCUCAUUUUGUUGAAGGAGUUUCUUCUCCUAUGGAUCUAUCAGAGUCAAAUGCUGUGAGAGUGAUGGUCUGGAUGUUAAUUUUUUUCAAGUUUAGUGAUGACAGAGUAGGAAGCAAACAGAUUAAUUAAUGACAACAAAAAAUACAAAGAGACUAUCUGCUAGGUAUUAUAGUAAUUCUCAAUAUUAAUGUAUCUGGGAUUUAAUUUUAGUUAUAUGUUACCAUUGAAAGCCACCAUAUCUGGACACCUAUGCAGUUAUUUCUUCAUUUGCAGUAUGGAACUUAUGUGUAUAAGUUCAUAAUUUUGAUAAAAUAUUAUAUACAGUGAUUUCUUAACCUUUCUCCAUUUAAAAUUAAGAUCUUCUAGCUACCAAGAUUAAAUCAUAUUAUCUUUUUGGGUAAACUCAUUACAUUUACUGUGGUAAACAAAACCUAAAAUGAUACAUAAUUGCUCCAAAUAGA
Peromyscus californicus insignis is the source of this 1555-nucleotide long non-coding RNA. RefSeq lists it as uncharacterized. The record is from RefSeq and is a predicted model, not a curated record. NCBI's taxonomy places the organism in Eukaryota, Metazoa, Chordata, Mammalia, Rodentia, Cricetidae. The transcript has 4 exons.